This 84-nucleotide transfer RNA is filed under the name Felis catus (domestic cat). It matches the Rfam family "tRNA". Rfam says of the family: Transfer RNA (tRNA) molecules are approximately 80 nucleotides in length. Their secondary structure includes four short double-helical elements and three loops (D, anti-codon, and T loops). Further hydrogen bonds mediate the characteristic L-shaped molecular structure. tRNAs have two regions of fundamental functional importance: the anti-codon, which is responsible for specific mRNA codon recognition, and the 3' end, to which the tRNAs corresponding amino acid is attached (by aminoacyl-tRNA synthetases). tRNAs cope with the degeneracy of the genetic code in two manners: having more than one tRNA (with a specific anti-codon) for a particular amino acid; and 'wobble' base-pairing, i.e. permitting non-standard base-pairing at the 3rd anti-codon position. Lineage: Eukaryota; Metazoa; Chordata; Mammalia; Carnivora; Felidae. The record is from Rfam by way of RNAcentral.
GCCUGGGUGGCUCAAUGGGUGAGCAUCCUACUUCGGCUCAGGUCAUGAUCUCAUGGUUUGUGGGUUCGAGCCCCACUUCGGGCU